CCCUAAAUACUGAUUUCUUUCCUGUGUGUAUUUCUACCAUCUUCUUUGUUCACUGGUCAUAGCACGGAUUCUUUCAGAUGAAGGCCAGUGCCUGCCAUGCAAAGCCAAGCACUUACUUUUAGCUGCAACACAACGCAUGUUUGUCAGUCUUGAGCACUCUGCAAAACUGACCAACAUUUCUUUUAUUUUACAAUUUUUCCCUUGCUUCUCAGGUUGGCCUCUGCACGCUGCAUGUGAACAGUUCGGUAAAUAUAAGUGGUCACAGCGUCGAGUUUAACCAGUCUUAUCAAAGCAUGGCAAUUGUCGAGCCUAACAAUCAAAUUUAUAGCUUCUGUUAAAUCAGUAUAGUAUCUAUUUAUACUUGUUUUUUGCUGAUGCUAUUGCAUGAGUACUGAAUUUUUGGAGAAAGUUAAGCAUGAUUCCAGUUAUAGUCCAGUUACAGUCCAUAUGCACCGUAGUUACAGUUGUAACUUUUGUUAUUUCUCACUGUAACUGAAUGUAGGUAGUUAGAUUAUUUUUGUUUACUACAUGUGUCAUGACUAAUUUUUUUAUAUAUAAAUUUGUGCUAGAUGAAAUUUUCUACGAAGAUCCUGGUCAAAAAAAAAAAAUUCUACGAAGAUCACAUAUGAUGCAUAAUAAUAGGUGCUGUUUAGGCAGAAGCUGAGUUUCAUGGUGGCAUUUCAAGCUCAACAUAUGAGAUGUGCUCGUUUGAUCAAAUCGGUUGUUAAAGGUAUUAGAGCAAAUAUCACUGAUUGAUACAUGUCUUCUCUGCAGUGAUUUCUGACAGAUGUUUUCUCCUUGAAUGAGCUUGUAAAAUUCUUUACCAAUUUUUGUGAGAUUCCAUUUUGUUCUCUCUAUGCACACAUGCCACAAUGAAAAAUGUUAAUGAAGUUCUGAGUUAGUAA
This is a non-coding RNA of Oryza sativa Japonica Group (Japanese rice), 905 nucleotides long. The record is from RefSeq and is a predicted model, not a curated record. Lineage: Eukaryota; Viridiplantae; Streptophyta; Magnoliopsida; Poales; Poaceae.